CUUUCCUUUAGCAAUUUAAUUGACUUUGUUAUGAAUUGAACGUGUUACUAUGAUAUUCAUUGUAAGGUAUAAGUUUCAAUUAGUUUCAACUUGAAUUAUGUUUGGAGAGAAAUAUGGAUUUCAAUUGGUGUUUAUAAGUAUACUUGGAAUGACUGAUUUGGACAUUCCUCUUGGUUGAUGUAUUGAAAUUUGAUAUUCAAUUGGUGUUUAUAAGAAAAACCUUCUUGAACAACCUCGCCAUACUCUCCAUAGCUUCUUGAACAACAUCGCCAUAGAACACCAUCCCUACAACCACCACUCCCCAUAAUCCGAAUUCUUCCAUCACAAUUCCACCUUUGCUUUCAUAAAAUUCAUAAUCAGGGUUUUCACAUUGUUCAAUUCGUCAAUUCUUUUCGUCAAUUUGUGAUUUUUUUCGUCAAUUUGAAGGCUGACAACAUGUCUAUGUUUUGAGGAUCUCACACAAGAUGGCUUGUUUACUUUAUUGCUUAAUAUUUCUAGAUUUUGAUAUAUUAAACUGAUUCUCACUUGUAAGUCUGUAAAUGAUAGAUUCUUUUUAUGUGAGGUGCUCAUCAUGUCUAUGUUUUGAGGAUCUCACACAAGAUGGUAUUUUCACUUUAUUGCCCAAUAUUUCUUGAUUUUGAUAUAUGAAACUGAUUGUCACUUGCAGAGCCUAUAACAAUUGUACAAUACAAUCGAUAAGUCUGUAAAUGAUAGAUUCUCUUUAUGUGAGGAUUAUGUUCGUCUAUUGGCCGUUGAAGGUUGUGCAGCCCUUGGAAAGCUUUUGGAGACUCAAGAUUGCAUUGUACACAUUCUUCCUGUAAUUGUUAAUUUCUCUCAAGUAUUGCGAGAGAAUAAAUAUAGCAUAUUUAAGUAUUCUUCCUAGAUAUCUUACUUGUGUAUUCUUGGUGGGAUUAAUGUCUUUGUGAGAGAACUGCCUUGGUGUAAAAAACCUUAUUCUUACUGGGAAAGGUUGCGUUCAGUGUUACCAACUUCUCGAGCACUUCAUAACUUGGAGCGAAAUUGCAAUAUGCUAGUAGUUACAUCAGUGAGGACUAGAUGAACAUGAUUUGCGCCAAUUAUGUAGCUUAGUUUAGCCUAUAUCAAAGACAGUCAUGCUUUUGUCAUUGAACUUUAAGGAGUCUCUAGUGGGUAAAUUUUUUAACUUUGUAAUUUGGAUUAUGAUGGAUUAGAUCUGAGAGUUUCUUUAUUUCUUUUCAAAACUAUCCUUUUCUUAAUUUUUUGUUGUGUACUGGUAGUGGUUGCCAGUGAGUUGCCUUGCUUCUAGUAUAUUUCUGGAAAACCUCUUUGCAAUUGUAAGGUUAAGGAUCAAAGAGGAUUUUUUUGCAGCUCUUUGGUUAAGGUUGUAUAUGUUUGAGUCCAUAAGCUACUAGAGAUAUUAAGGUAAUGGUGUGAUAUGGUAUGAUAUUAUUGUCUCAUAAAUCAUCUGAAUUCCCAAAGGUUACAUAUUUUAUAUCUUGUUUAGUGGUUAUUACCAAUGUUCAAGAAUCUAGUCUAUCUAGACAUGCUGUCUCUUUAUCCUACACUGUGAUCCUUCAAGCUUCCAGCCUCUUUGCGAUGUCUUUUCUUCUCUCAUUUUGCGAGUUAUUAUGUUUUGAACUGACAUAGCUAAUUCAGCUUGAAAUGAUGAUUAAGGACUGAAAAUGGAUUUGUAUUAAUAAAAUGGAAAUUGCAGAAAAUAUGUAAAGAUACUAAAAACUUCCAAAAGGCUUGAUUCCCUCCUAAUAAAUUCUUAAAAUCUCACCAGAACUCUCAUUAAUAUUUUCCAUGCUUUCCCUGAUCUUACUUCCUCUAUUUAUAGAGUUUCUAUCCUAACCAACUUACUUAGUCUUCAAGCCACUAACUUAUGAAAGUACUACCAAAAGUGCCCCUUCCCCCUUAUAUCAGUACUCAGCAUAUUACUGGGGCUAGGAGCUCGGUUUCAAUGAAGGACAAGUAUGCAUCCCCUUAUAGUUUUGUUAAAUGAACCUGGCUGUCAGGAAAUCUUUGACAGGUGACAAAGUCCCUGAAGUGUAGUAGCAAAUAAAUUUCGCAAUUAGUUUGUCUGAGUUCUUACGUGUCUCGUUUGGUCUUCAUGCUUCUUCGACAAAUAAUGCUUAUUGUACAUGAAUGUAUUGCGCUUGGUUCUAAUUUCACUUGAAGUAAACUAUCUCACUUUUACUCUAGAUUACCGGUGGAGGAAAUGGUGCUACAAAAGUUUCGGCAACAAUGUGUUUUGCCUCAAUUGUUAGCUAUGUCCCAAUAUUGCAUUGCACAGUUUGUGUCGUUUCCUAUCUUCAUUUGUUGGCUGACUGUUAUGUGUACAAUUGCAGGUUGGCAUUUCAGUCUUUGUGACCGGAAGACACGGAGAGCAAAGUAAUUACUCUUUUCUAAUGCUGUGAUAUGUAAACAAAAGUUUAGCACACUUGACCUAGACUGGCAAGGGUCAGGGGUGAACAAGGCCAUAGUCACUCCAGAAUAGGAGUAUUUCACAAGACUCAUACAUUACAUUGCGAAAGGCAAUUGAUUUUGGAAAUCUAACAAGCAAAGCUCUUCUCAUUUCUCAUUGACCUUGGAUUAUGCUUUUAUUGAGUAAACUCUUUGGCUCAUUUUUUACAAUGGUCGUUGAGUAUUUCUACUCAUUUAUAUCAAUAAUAUCAUUUUAUUUCCUCUUCAA
Long non-coding RNA from Beta vulgaris subsp. vulgaris (sugar beet), 2674 nucleotides. RefSeq lists it as uncharacterized. The transcript is spliced from 2 exons. The record is from RefSeq and is a predicted model, not a curated record. Lineage: Eukaryota; Viridiplantae; Streptophyta; Magnoliopsida; Caryophyllales; Amaranthaceae.